UUUAUGCGUUAGAUCUUACUCUUUGUUUGUGUAUGUUGUAGGGGGUCUGAGGUUAUGGUCUGAAGUACACCGCAGCAGGUGCAGACUGUAGGCCAGGGGUGUUGAGCAUGUCUUGGAGGGCCCCAAGGGGUCUGCAGGGCCUGGGGGUGAAGGAAACCUCCCCUGAGAGUGAGAAAUAAUGGCCUAAAAACUCAGCUUGAGGGAGCUCAGAAGAAGGCCAUGUAGUCCAGCAUCUCCAGUUCAAAGCUGUGUGAGCCAGGAGUUCAAACCAGGGGACUCUCAAGUCAGGUCUGGCUCUGGCUUAUGGCACGACACUUCACUGAGGGAGCAUCGGUUUGAGAAGGAUGACGGCCCUGCUGUUCCUUGUAGGUGGCUGAACAGAUGCAGCUGUGACCUGGCUUGUCUCAAGAUCUGGGAUUUGGGGAGGAUUCAGGGUAAAUGCUCAGUACAACAUGCAGGAGCUGUAAUCUGUCUUGACCAGCCCAUCCUUUAACUUAAAAAAACCCCAAACGCCAGGGAGCUGAUGAACACCCCCAUCCUUUUCCUUCCUUUCCGAGUGCCUGGGGUGGGCACAUGCUCCUCGUCACACUGAGAGGGACGUCCCCAAUGUGGGUGGCUGUGUCCCCCCCUACCCCACCGUCCCCGCACCGUACCCCAUGGCCGUGUGCUGGGACAGCUUGCCAGGGACACAUGGGAGGCUGUUCCAGUAGCUGCACACAGACCCCAGGGUCACGCUGCCUGUGUCACUCGGCAAAAUCAGGAGGCUUAAUGAAGUCAUCGAGAGAUGCGUUGGGUAUCCCUGACUGCAGGAUUUGGCCCAGAUAAUCCAUCUGCCAACGAACAUGUUGCUGCACAAACCUCAGUAAUCAAGAACGCUGUAUCAGCGCUGGAGCCUCCCUGGAGGCUGCGUGUCCUACAUAGCCACAAAAUGGCAGGAGGGGGUUACGUGACAACCUAUAAACCUGCUCUCAUUCUGGGUGACGGACGGCGACUCGCUGGAACCAGAGCAGAUGGACCGAUCCUGCACUGUCCGGGCUUGGUUUUCAACCAGUGUCAGCAUCAUGACCCUGAAGUCAGCUGUGCACGU
This is a long non-coding RNA of Egretta garzetta (little egret), 1087 nucleotides long. RefSeq lists it as uncharacterized. Lineage: Eukaryota; Metazoa; Chordata; Aves; Pelecaniformes; Ardeidae. The transcript is spliced from 4 exons. The record is from RefSeq and is a predicted model, not a curated record.